RNAcentral lists this ribosomal RNA (253 nucleotides) under uncultured bacterium. RNAcentral's name for it is "partial 16S ribosomal RNA". It matches the Rfam family "Bacterial small subunit ribosomal RNA", at positions 524 to 776 of the family's 1533-position model. The record is from RNAcentral.
UACAGAGGUGGCAAGCGUUGUUCGGAAUUACUGGGCGUAAAGGGCGCGUAGGCCGCCUUCUAAGUCAGACGUGAAAUCCCCCGGCUUAACCUGGGAACUGCGUCUGAUACUGGGAGGCUAGAGUGCGGGAGAGGGAUGCGGAAUUCCAGGUGUAGCGGUGAAAUGCGUAGAUAUCUGGAGGAACACCGGUGGCGAAGGCGGCAUCCUGGACCGACACUGACGCUGAGGCGCGAAAGCUAGGGUAGCAAACGGG